RNAcentral lists this transfer RNA (74 nucleotides) under Cordylochernes scorpioides. RNAcentral's name for it is "tRNA-Thr". The stretch from base 7 to 64 matches the Rfam family "tRNA", at positions 8 to 63 of the family's 71-position model. Rfam says of the family: Transfer RNA (tRNA) molecules are approximately 80 nucleotides in length. The record is from RNAcentral. Lineage: Eukaryota; Metazoa; Arthropoda; Arachnida; Pseudoscorpiones; Chernetidae.
UCAAACUAGCCUAGUGGACAUGGCAUCUGCCCGGUAAGCGGAACACUGUGGGUUCGAUUCCCAUCACUGGAGAC